CCUGACUGCUAUCGGAUUGAUACUAAGCCAUGUGAGUCAUUGUAGCAAUACAAGGCAGACGGCUCAGUAACACGUAGCCAACCUACCCUAUGGACGGGGAUAACCUCGGGAAACUGAGGAUAAACCCCGAUAGAUCAUUAUGCCUGGAAAGGUUUAUGGUCCAAAUGAUUCGUCGCCGUAGGAUGGGACUGCGGCCUAUCAGCUUGUUGGUGAGGUAAUGGCCCACCAAGGCUAUUACAGGUACGGGCUCUGAGAGGAGAAGCCCGGAGAUGGGUACUGAGACACGGACCCAGGCCCUAUGGGGCGCAGCAGGCGAGAAACCUUUGCAAUGUGCGCAAGCACGACAAGGUUAAUCCGAGUGUUUCCUGCUAAAGGAAUCUUUUGUUAGUCCUAAAAACACUAGUGAAUAAGGGGUGGGCAAGUUCUGGUGUCAGCCGCCGCGGUAAAACCAGCACCUCAAGUGGUCAGGAGGAUUAUUGGGCCUAAAGCAUCCGUAGCUUGCUCUGUAAGUUUCCGGUUAAAUCCAUUAGCUCAACUAAUGGGCUGCCGGAAAAACUGCAAAGCUAGGAAGUGGGAGAGGUAGACGGUACUCGGUAGGAAGGGGUAAAAUCCUUUGAUCUAUUGAUGACCACCUGUGGCGAAGGCGGUCUACCAGAACACGUUCGACAGUGAGGGAUGAAAGCUGGGGGAGCAAACCGGAUUAGAUACCCGGGUAGUCCCAGCUGUAAACGAUGCAGACUCGGUGAUGCACUGGCUUGUGGCCAGUGCAGUGCCGCAGGGAAGCCGUUAAGUUUGCCGCCUGGGAAGUACGUACGCAAGUAUGAAACUUAAAGGAAUUGGCGGGGGAGCACCACAAGGGGUGAGGCCUGCGGUUC
Molecule: ribosomal RNA, 875 nt
Filed under: uncultured archaeon
Lineage: Archaea
Description: bacterial SSU rRNA
Rfam family: Archaeal small subunit ribosomal RNA
Source: RNAcentral